Molecule: unclassified non-coding RNA, 295 nt
Organism: Piliocolobus tephrosceles (Ugandan red Colobus)
Lineage: Eukaryota; Metazoa; Chordata; Mammalia; Primates; Cercopithecidae
Rfam family: Metazoan signal recognition particle RNA
About the family: The signal recognition particle (SRP) is a universally conserved ribonucleoprotein. It is involved in the co-translational targeting of proteins to membranes.
Source: Ensembl
GCCAGGCACAGUGGGCAUGCUUAUAGUCCCAGCUACUCCAGAGACCAAGGCAGGAGAAUCGCUUGUGUCCAGUAACAGGCUGUAGUACACUGUGCUGAUAGAGUGUCUGCACUAAGUUUGCCACCAAUAUCGUAAUUGCCAGGGAGUAGGGAACCAUCAGGUCACCUAGGGAGGGAUGAACUGGCCCAGGUUGUAAGUGGAGCAAAUUAAAACUCCCUUACUAAUCAGUGGUGGGAUGGUAGCCAUGAAUAGCCACUAUAAUUGAGUCUGGGGAACAUAGUGAGACCCUGUCUUU